GGGAAGAUGGCCGAGCGGUUAUGGCGCUGCGUUCAGGCGGUUUGACUGUUUCAGUCGAUUCAUUAAACCUGUUCACUAUUUCGCAGUGGAGCAAUCCUCGUGGGUUCGAAUCCCACUCUUCUCA
This 124-nucleotide transfer RNA is filed under the name Microdochium bolleyi. It matches the Rfam family "tRNA". From Rfam's summary of the family: Transfer RNA (tRNA) molecules are approximately 80 nucleotides in length. Lineage: Eukaryota; Fungi; Ascomycota; Sordariomycetes; Xylariales; Microdochiaceae. The record is from Rfam by way of RNAcentral.